ACUUCAAUUUGAAAUUCAGUGCGAAAGCGAACGACAACGCAGACGGGUAGCCAGUGAGCGGGAGAGCGAGCGAGAAAGUGCUUUUUAAAGCAGCAUUAGCGAGCGGCGGCCGCUUUUCCACAUUUUGUGUUUUUUUUUUUUGUAUUCCUUUAAAAAAAAUUCGUUAGCUAAUUUUUUUUGAGUGUGAAGUGGCUUUGGUUUAUUUUUGUUUGCUAUCGCGUGCACAACAAUAAAGUUUAUCAACAAAUAAAAAGUCCGUUCUAAUGUAACUGUUUAUUGAAUUGCGGCGAAUUAGUUUGGCGUUAACAACAAAGCGAAAUACGCACAAGAACAAUAACAACGUCGAUCAAACAUAUUUUGUAAACGGGCUACGCGGUUAGCGGCAAACACAGCCGUAGACAUCAUCGUAGACGGGGAGUACGGCCAAGUGACAUCAUUAAAAGAAAAAAAGUGACGGAAAUUGUUGGCCGUGUGUCGUGGCCAAAAAUAAAUGCAAAAAAGACGAGAAAAGCAAAACAAAAAAACGCCAAUUCAAAAAAAAUAAGAAAAAGAAUUGUACUCCACAACAAGAAUAACAACAGCGGCGGCAGUAGCAGCAAGGCGAAGAAGAAGCGUGAAAACACGCACCAACUAGAACAAUA
RNAcentral lists this small RNA (641 nucleotides) under Drosophila mojavensis. Its description in RNAcentral is "GI26861". Lineage: Eukaryota; Metazoa; Arthropoda; Insecta; Diptera; Drosophilidae. The record is from RNAcentral.